GACGAACGCUGGCGGCGUGCUUAACACAUGCAAGUCGAACGGAAAGGCCCUGCUUUUGUGGGGUGCUCGAGUGGCGAACGGGUGAGUAACACGUGAGUAACCUGCCCUUGACUUUGGGAUAACUUCAGGAAACUGGGGCUAAUACCGGAUAGGGGCUCCUGCUGCAUGGUGGGGGUUGGAAAGUUUCGGCGGUUGGGGAUGGACUCGCGGCUUAUCAGCUUGUUGGUGGGGUAGUGGCUUACCAAGGCUUUGACGGGUAGCCGGCCUGAGAGGGUGACCGGCCACAUUGGGACUGAGAUACGGCCCAGACUCCUACGGGAGGCAGCAGUGGGGAAUAUUGCACAAUGGGCGGAAGCCUGAUGCAGCAACGCCGCGUGCGGGAUGACGGCCUUCGGGUUGUAAACCGCUUUCGCCUGUGACGAAGCGUGAGUGACGGUAAUGGGUAAAGAAGCACCGGCUAACUACGUGCCAGCAGCCGCGGUGAUACGUAGGGUGCGAGCGUUGUCCGGAUUUAUUGGGCGUAAAGGGCUCGUAGGUGGUUGAUCGCGUCGGAAGUGUAAUCUUGGGGCUUAACCCUGAGCGUGCUUUCGAUACGGGUUGACUUGAGGAAGGUAGGGGAGAAUGGAAUUCCUGGUGGAGCGGUGGAAUGCGCAGAUAUCAGGAGGAACACCAGUGGCGAAGGCGGUUCUCUGGGCCUUUCCUGACGCUGAGGAGCGAAAGCGUGGGGAGCGAACAGGCUUAGAUACCCUGGUAGUCCACGCUGUAAACGGUGGGUACUAGGUGUGGGGUCCAUUCCACGGGUUCCGUGCCGUAGCUAACGCUUUAAGUACCCCGCCUGGGGAGUACGGCCGCAAGGCUAAAACUCAAAGGAAUUGACGGAGCCCCGCACAAGCGGCGGAGCAUGCGGAUUAAUUCGAUGCAACGCGUAGAACCUUACCUGGGUUUGACAUGGAUCGGGAGUGCUCAGAGAUGGGUGUGCCUCUUUUGGGGUCGGUUCACAGGUGGUGCAUGGCUGUCGUCAGCUCGUGUCGUGAGAUGUUGGGUUAAGUCCCGCAACGAGCGCAACCCUUGUUCACUGUUGCCAGCACGUUAUGGUGGGGACUCAGUGGAGACCGCCGGGGUCAACUCGGAGGAAGGUGGGGAUGACGUCAAGUCAUCAUGCCCCUUAUGUCCAGGGCUUCACGCAUGCUACAAUGGCUGGUACAGAGAGUGGCGAGCCUGUGAGGGUGAGCGAAUCUCGGAAAGCCGGUCUCAGUUCGGAUUGGGGUCUGCAACUCGACCUCAUGAAGUCGGAGUCGCUAGUAAUCGCAGAUCAGCAACGCUGCGGUGAAUACGUUCCCGGG
RNAcentral lists this ribosomal RNA (1343 nucleotides) under uncultured bacterium. Its description in RNAcentral is "16S ribosomal RNA". It matches the Rfam family "Bacterial small subunit ribosomal RNA", at positions 28 to 1378 of the family's 1533-position model. The record is from RNAcentral.